This 390-nucleotide ribosomal RNA is filed under the name Triticum aestivum (bread wheat). Its description in RNAcentral is "partial small subunit ribosomal RNA". Lineage: Eukaryota; Viridiplantae; Streptophyta; Magnoliopsida; Poales; Poaceae. The record is from RNAcentral.
AACUCCUGGUGGAUCACAGGGGUUUACGGACAGCGGGAAGAUGAUGAGAAGGUUGCCUUUCUCAAUGAGUUGAGCAUUUGUCGUGCCAUGUGUCCAGGGCAGUGGAUGGUGUUGGGUGACUUCAACAUGAUUCUGCAGGCUAGCGAGAAGAGCAACGACAAUCUUAGCAGAAACAUCAUGAACAGGUUCAGGCGCUUUGUGGAUGACAAUGAGCUAAAGAUGCACAUGCACGGGCGUAGAUUCACCUGGUCGAACGAGCGGAAUAAUCCAACUAUGACCAAGAUCGACCGCAUUCUUGUUUCCGUGGUUUGGGAGCUGGCUUAUCCCGACUGCCUCUUGCAACCGCUCUCAUCUCGGGUCUCGGAUCACGCACCGCUCCACCUAUCCUUG